CCUACGGGAGGCAGCAGUGAGGAAUAUUGCGCAAUGGGCGAAAGCCUGACGCAGCCACGCCGCGUGCCGGAUGAAGGUCCUUUGGAUUGUAAACGGCUUUUGCCAGGGAAGAAACGGCUGGAUUUGUCCGGUUUUGACGGUACCUGGUGAAUAAGCACCGGCUAACUCCGUGCCAGCAGCCGCGGUAAU
This 189-nucleotide ribosomal RNA is filed under the name uncultured bacterium. RNAcentral describes it as "partial 16S ribosomal RNA". It matches the Rfam family "Bacterial small subunit ribosomal RNA", at positions 338 to 524 of the family's 1533-position model. The record is from RNAcentral.